This is a long non-coding RNA of Apis florea (little honeybee), 154 nucleotides long. The record is from RefSeq and is a predicted model, not a curated record. Lineage: Eukaryota; Metazoa; Arthropoda; Insecta; Hymenoptera; Apidae.
UACAGUGGUCGGAGAGGGGGGGGAUAGUUUUGUUUGCCGCGGUAAAAGAAGGACAACGAACGAAAGGAUGGUGUAAUCGGGUUUUCCGUUGACAUAACCACUGUUCGGUCGCGCGGGAAAGCUCUGCGAACAGGCUUUUUCCCGAACAAGAAGA